GAUGAACGCUAGCGGCAGGCUUAACACAUGCAAGUCGAGGGGCAUCACGGGUAGCAAUACCUGGUGGCGACCGGCGCAAGGGUGCGUAACGCGUGAGCAACAUGCCCUAUACAGGGGGAUAAUCCAGGGAAACUUGGUCUAAUAUCCCAUAGCAUUUAGAGGUGGCAUCACCAUUAAAUUAAAGCUUCGGUGGUAUAGGAUUGGCUCGCGUGACAUUAGCUAGAUGGUGGGGUAACGGCUCACCAUGGCUAUGAUGUCUAGGGGUUCUGAGAGGAAGACCCCCCACACUGGGACUGAGACACGGCCCAGACUCCUACGGGAGGCAGCAGUGAGGAAUAUUGGACAAUGGAUGGAAAUCUGAUCCAGCCAUGCCGCGUGCAGGAAGACGGCCCUAUGGGUUGUAAACUGCUUUUAUAUGGGAGCAAUAAGGUCUACGUGUAGACUGAUGAGAGUACCAUAUGAAUAAGC
RNAcentral lists this ribosomal RNA (468 nucleotides) under uncultured bacterium. RNAcentral's name for it is "bacterial SSU rRNA". It matches the Rfam family "Bacterial small subunit ribosomal RNA", at positions 28 to 491 of the family's 1533-position model. The record is from RNAcentral.